Molecule: long non-coding RNA, 2946 nt
Organism: Bombus huntii
Lineage: Eukaryota; Metazoa; Arthropoda; Insecta; Hymenoptera; Apidae
Exons: 2
Source: RefSeq, a predicted model, not a curated record
AUAUUUCAAUGGAUUUUAUACAAUAUUAUUGACGCUCAUCGAGCGCUCGUUCAAAGGGAAACAAAAUAGGUAUCAAUGUAUCGGACGUCUAGUGCCUCUUCACAUCUUUCCGUGCUUUUUGGUAUUUUUAUACAGAUGUCGAAAUACAACUUUUUCACCAGAUCAAUUUCACUCGGGUUCAAAAAGUGAUCUUCAAAAAAUCAAAAACAGGAAAAAAUUAUCAUCGUGUUCGUUCCUCUUUUUUAUUUCUCGCUCUUAAAUAACCGGAUUAAUAGAUGCGAUUAAAGAUGAAAUUUCCUUACGAAAUCGAUGCGCCAACCUACGAAACGGUAAACGGUGGCCUAAUCUUGAAUAACUAUACGAAAUGCUUGAAAGUUGCCAGUAAUAUCACCGUCGAACCCGUCUUUCUUCCUCUUAUCUGACGUUUCACCGAAACUAAUCUCAGCGUACGUUUCAGAUAACGCUCCGAACGACACGUCUGGUCCACCGUAUAGUCGCAACAAAUUCACCUCGGUUCUCUCGUUCAAUUAACUCUUGACCUCUUUCGAAGGGGACUUGGAAAAUUCGUUGAUUAAAAACUUUGUUUAUGACACGAGAUAUCCGCGCGAGUGGCUAUCAAAAAUGAAAGCUUCAAAAUCACGUUCUCGCGAUUUAUCCGCUCCAUUGGUUCUUCGUUGGCGCAACAAAAACUCCAAAAGCAUCCUAAUCUUUUGGUAAUGCACCGAGCCAAUCGAACUCUGACAAUAAGACCGGCCACUUUGCUCUCGUCAAUUUGUCGGUCGACAGCGGCCAUCGCGAGCCAAACGUUUAUGACGCUUUUAACGCAAAGUCGUAAAUAUUUGUUCAAUUGAGUUGCGUUCUUGCGACGCAGCAAGUUUUUUUCCAACUCGUAUACAAGUUCGUAAUCGUAAAAGAGUUACAUAAUCGCGAGUUCCUUCUAUUCUUCGCUGUUCCAACGAUUUUCAUCUCAGCGAUUUUGUAAAGAGCGUUGCUGCUGAUUGAUUCUCGGUGGGAAAGUGUUAUUCACAGCAAUCGUUUCUACCAAACAGGUACUUGGCACGGCAAACUCUCUUUACAGAUACCCAGCCAGCAUUCUAUUCCAUCGAACGAUAAAAACAACGCGAAACUAAUCGGAGCGGACCCAGCGAACGAAAUGAGACGAGCAACGUAACAAAGAAAAAUCGUUCGGUUGUUAUUCGCGUGACGCAGCAGAAAGAUAUUAGGCGGUCGGGAGGUUGUAUAAAACGCGGGCCGACGGAAUGAUAAUGUAAUAAGUGGCGGUGAUAAGGAAAACUAGUUUGGCCGGACGAGAAGCGCCCUGGGAAAUUGGUGGGUCAGCAAAGGAAAAUCGCUGAGCAGAAGCGAAAACGGAAAAGAGGAAAGAGCAGAGCAGAGGAGGAGGAUGGUGGUGAAUGUAAUGGAUAUCGAAUCGAGUACGCGGUGACCAAGCAACGAAUCAAAUCCAUUUGCUCGUCACCAUGUCGUUAAGUUAUAAUUGCACGCUCCGCUCCGAUCGAUUGGUGCUCUUUCUUCUGUUCACUAUUUUCUCAGCUAAGGGUCGUUGAAAACGAUCGGCCGCGAUAAAGCGUGCUCCAUAAGAAGAAGAAUUACGCGGGCAGUCGUUGAUACACAGCUAGAUACCGAGGCUAAGAGAAAGAGAGAUGAAGCUGAAUGGAUUUCUAGUAAGCUCCGUAAGGAAUAUCGGAGGCGUCUUAUCUGCGACGAUAUUUAUAACCGGGAAGCCCGAUCCUCUCUCUUGCCAAUUUACGUUGCAUCCUCGAAAUUGCCAGCUAGCAAUUACUCAGACGUACUGACGUAAGAAUGAAGAAUAAACGAGUAGGUUUAUCGAGUAUCUACCAGGAUCCAGAUUUUCUCGUCUUCAGCAACGAAAUUUCAACCGGGGAAACUAUUAUCUCGGCUACGGAUGAACAGAGAGAGAGAGAGAGAGAAAGAGAGAGAAAAAUUUGUUUGCGUUAACGGUGGCAAUUUAACCUUGAAAUAAAAUUAUUCUAGCUAUUGGCUGGCGGGCAUUCAGAUAUUUUGAUCGAUUUGUAAUAACAACGUGCAAAGCAAUUUUACCAUAGCGACAAAAUAUCUCUGAGCGUAAGCGACGUUUCAAAAGCGAAACAUUGAAACGUAAACGUUGGUCUGUUUUUCCGUUAAUGGGAGUGAGUAAUGGAAGUACAAGGAAAUUUGUGAAAUCAAGUUGCAUUACACGUGGAUCGUACACGAGAUACAAAAUUGGAGAGCAUCAUCCUUGAGAAUUGUUAGACUAUUUGGACCUUGGACUCCGGCCCAAUUAGACUAUGCACACGUUCAAGCUUGCUUUUAGCCAAAAUUUGAUCUCUAUUUAGAGAUUACGUUGCCAGACCUUUGUACUUACGAACACCAUUUCAGAUUCUUCGCGUAUAAAUUGCACGGGUCGAAUUGCCAGUUCCUUUCUUAACGAAAUUUAAUUUCAAGCGUUCAACUCCUACGUUAAUUGCACUAGCGAUUAUAAACUAUCAAACAAUGUUGCGUCAAAUAAUUAUAUUUACGGAUAUACAUAAUUUUGUAUCAAGGCUACUUAUACCAAUACCAGUCAAAACGACCGGUACUUGUCAAAGCGUAAAAGGGUCCUGCAAUCUGUAUAUCGAACCCCAAUUAGCCAGUUCUCUCGUUUCGUACAACUACCCACACGUUAUCAAAGUUUUUGCUGCGUAUCAUUCGAUAUGAUGAUACCAGUUAUCAGGAAAAUUCCGGAUCGAUCGCCAGAUCGCUAGAUGCUAACACUAGAAAUACCACAGCAGUCAAAAUGACUGGUUCUACAAUUUUAUAAAUAUACCAACCCUCCUUUAGGGAUGAUGGUCGUAGAUGGAUUAAUACUACCAAAAAUGUGCUACAUAACAUGGAAUUUCUUCUGUAAGAAAGUAAUAAAUCAAUAAAUAUAAAAAUACUCUAUUAUUA